Molecule: ribosomal RNA, 332 nt
Filed under: uncultured Geobacter sp.
Lineage: Bacteria; Pseudomonadati; Thermodesulfobacteriota; Desulfuromonadia; Geobacterales; Geobacteraceae
Description: bacterial SSU rRNA
Rfam family: Bacterial small subunit ribosomal RNA
Source: RNAcentral
GGUUGUCGUCAGCUCGUGUCGUGAGAUGUGGUUAAGUCCCGCAACGAGCGCAACCCUUAUCCUUAGUUUGCCAGCAUUAAGUUGGGCACUCUAAAGAGACUGCCGGUGAUAAACCGGAGGAAGGUGGGAUGACGUCAAAUCAUCAUGCCCCUUAUGACCUGGGCUACACACGUGCUACAAUGGCCGGUACAAAGAGUUGCGAAGCCGCGAGGUGGAGCUAAUCUCACAAAGCCGGUCUCAGUUCAGAUUGUAGUCUGCAACUCGACUACAUGAAGUCGGAAUCGCUAGUAAUCGCGGAUCAGCAUGCCGCGGUGAAUACGUUCCCGGGCCUU